Long non-coding RNA from Biomphalaria glabrata, 2660 nucleotides. RefSeq lists it as uncharacterized. Lineage: Eukaryota; Metazoa; Mollusca; Gastropoda; Planorbidae. The transcript has 2 exons. The record is from RefSeq and is a predicted model, not a curated record.
UAGACACCUUAUUUAUAUAGGUUAGUUAUUUAGCGACGCACCAUAGAAGACGCAUAUUGAACGGGACUAGUGACGUUUGGGAUAUGUUGGGUUAGAGACCGGAAAAUCAGUUAGCGAUAGAACACUCCAGGGUAACGACGUGUUUAGUGACAGAGACUUCUACUGUGGCCUUUUAUCAGAAUAAAUCCAUGUACAAUUGUUCAUCAGAGUCGACUACAUCUCUUCACUUGUUAAAACAGGUGUUGUAUGGUUCUUGUUUGACUUGUUGGUCAACUACACGUAAUACACCCGAACAAUCACACCCAAACGAUUGCAGAGUAAUUGGUUGACUUCAAGACAGCCUGAACUAGCAACAUCACAGUGGCGACCCCGAACCUCGAAGCCGGACCCCUGAUGAAGCCGAACAUCGAACCGGACCUCGAAGCAGAACGUUUACUCAGGUGAGGGUCGUGCACUCGAAGAUAUAAGAUUUCAUCGGAGUACGGCUGAACACAGCAUCAUCGCAGAGUGACUUUGUUCUAGAUCUACAUACAGUCGUCGCCUGUUUGAUCGCACGUUCAACGAGCCGUUAACUCAGGGUGACCUUCGUCAGGACAGUAAUCAUCGCAACGCCUGAUCUUCAUAUGCUGAAUCGACCUACAACCAGAGAAACCGUUCGUUCAUAACGGGUGAGAGAUCGUUAGUGAACCUGUUGGACAUAUUUUUUUCUUCGUCGUAGGAGCCACAUCGAGUAUCAAGUUUUACCUCGCCAGUUCGAGAAGGACAGUUUGCCCGCUGUCAGAAGUAUUGUGAGUACUACAAGUUUGGUAGCUAACUAAAUCGCUCUGUCGUCUUACCCUUGGAGAGAUUCUUGUGGAGCAGUUUGCUCAUUGAACCGGUUGCUUGCCACUUUUAUAACGGACACUGUGUUUAACCUUUGGAAGGUUAGUGAAGUAAUCUUUAUCAGUACUGAACAUUGAUAUAUCUAGUAUUCGUCGGUCUAGACCAUACCUAGACUUGUUAGCAGUGAAGUUGUGGAAACAGCUACAUCCACUUAAUUUCGUUGAAAACCGUUAGUCGUAUAACGGAACGUCGUCGGAGGUGACCUUGGUCUCACCUAGUCUACAUUGGACAGUUUGGUCUAGUGAAGCAGAGUACAACAGCAAACUUCGUCGUACUACCAGAGUAGCAGCAGAAGCAGUGAACUAUUUUAGAAAGUCGUUAUUCGUCAGCCCAGAUCAAGUCAUCGUCAAGAAAGUCGUUAUUCGUCAGCCCAGAUCAAGUCAUCGUCAAGAAAUUCGUUAUUCGUCAGUCGUCCAGAUCAAGUUGUCGUCAAGAGACUAUUAUUUGUCAGUAGUCGUCUACACAAGUCAAGUCGUCGCCAGAAGAACCGUUAACCUAUUCGUCAGUAACUGUGUACACAAAGUCGUCAGAACUACACAUACGGUCAUCAACAGUCGCCGAAGGAACUGAAACAUUUUGCUGUGGCAUAUCAGGACAUCUGUGGCAUUACGUGGGAUACUGGUAGCACCGGAGAACAGAGUCAGAACUGGAAGAGAGGCAGUGGAAUUUGUUGUGAUCUAGCAUAUUCGGGAGUCCGAACAAAGGGAUCUUUCUUAUCAAAAGCUAAGUGCCAUUUUUCUUAUUAGUAUAUGUUUAGAUUGCCCUUAGAAAUAGAUUUUGUCUAAAUUUGGUAUGUUAGCCUGAGAUUCAGGUGGUGCUGAAGCCUUAAACCCGUUCGGGGUAGAAGACAUAAUUUAGAUGAAAAGCUAUAUUAUACGUUUAGGGUUGUAAUUGUUUUGUUUGUGUAAACGUCAUAUCCGUUGUUGCCUAGUUACUUCGUGACGUUAUCAUUGUGUGCCAUAUUGUCAUAUCCCAACCCAUAGCGAUAGUCUCAUUUAAUUAUUUCAUUUGUUUAUAUUAUUUUAAAUUAUUUAUUUUUAUUAAUUUAAUUAGAUCUGUAUUUUUUUUUCACUUAAUGAUAGAAAGUGCGGGUAGGAUUCUUUUACUGUGAAUCAGACUAAAAUAAUUUUAGUUUGAGCGGUUAAAAUCAAAUAUGAUUUUGCCAUGAGAAUAAUGCCGAAACUGGCAUCGUAGUCAAACACUGUCGUCUGGCUAAAUAUAGAUCUACAAAUUUUGUACAUCUCUUUGGUACAAUUAAAUCAUCUAGACUCUAAGUUGAAAUAUUAUUAAUUGAAAGAUGAAUGAAGAUUACUGCCAGUGAAGAACAUUUGUGAUGUAUGACGUGCCCAUAAGAUGCCACAUUUUCCUCCAUGAUGAACUGUGUAAUAAUGAAGAUGAUUCUGGAGUGUUAUGAACAUUGACAUUGAAUAUGAGGAACUGUCAAGUCAAGAUGAAGAUGUCAAGAUUUUAUGUUUGUUGUCUUCCCCUUAAAUUGAAAAUGCCCUUGUAAGACUUGACAGUAGUGGAAAAAUAUUGACAUAUUUUUUUUUCAAGGGGGGGAGGAAUCUGUUAGACACCUUAUUUAUAUAGGUUAGUUAUUUAGCGACGCACCAUAGAAGACGCAUAUUGAACGGGACUAGUGACGUUUGGGAUAUGUUGGGUUAGAGACCGGAAAAUCAGUUAGCGAUAGAACACUCCAGGGUAACGACGUGUUUAGUGACAGAGACUUCUACUGUGGCCUUUUAUCAGAAUAAAUCCAUGUACAAUUGUUCAUCAGA